RNAcentral lists this ribosomal RNA (778 nucleotides) under uncultured bacterium. RNAcentral's name for it is "bacterial SSU rRNA". It matches the Rfam family "Bacterial small subunit ribosomal RNA", at positions 86 to 859 of the family's 1533-position model. The record is from RNAcentral.
UGGUGGCGAGUGGCGAACGGGUGAGUAAUAUAUCGGAACGUGCCCAGUCGUGGGGGAUAACGCAGCGAAAGCUGUGCUAAUACCGCAUACGAUCUCUGGAUGAAAGUGGGGGACCUGCAAGGGCCUCGCGCGAUUGGAGCGGCCGAUAUCAGAUUAGCUAGUUGGUGGGGUAAAGGCUCACCAAGGCGACGAUCUGUAGCUGGUCUGAGAGGACGACCAGCCACACUGGAACUGAGACACGGUCCAGACUCCUACGGGAGGCAGCAGUGGGGAAUUUUGGACAAUGGGCGCAAGCCUGAUCCAGCAAUGCCGCGUGCGGGAUGAAGGCCUUCGGGUUGUAAACUGCUUUUGUACGGAACGAAACGGCUCUUUUUAAUAAAGAGGGCUAAUGACGGUACCGUAAGAAUAAGCACCGGCUAACUACGUGCCAGCAGCCGCGGUAAUACGUAGGGUGCGAGCGUUAAUCGGAAUUACUGGGCGUAAAGCGUGCGCAGGCGGUUUUGUAAGACAGAUGUGAAAUCCCCGGGCUCAACCUGGGACCUGCAUUUGUGACUGCAAGGCUAGAGUACGGUAGAGGGGGAUGGAAUUCCGCGUGUAGCAGUGAAAUGCGUAGAUAUGCGGAGGAACACCGAUGGCGAAGGCAAUCCCCUGGACCUGUACUGACGCUCAUGCACGAAAGCGUGGGGAGCAAACAGGAUUAGAUACCCUGGUAGUCCACGCCCUAAACGAUGUCAACUGGUUGUUGGGUCUUUACUGACUCAGUAACGAAGCUAACGCG